GUACCUAAUCAGAAAGCCCCGGCUAACUACGUGCCAACAGCCGCGGUAAUACGUAGGGGGCAAGCGUUAUCCGGAAUUAUUGGGCGUAAAGCGCGCGGAGGCGGUUUUUUAAGUCUGAUGUGAAAGCCCGCGGCUCAACCGUGGAGGGGCAUUGGAAACUGGAAAACUUGAGUGCGGAAGAGGAAAGUGGAAUUCCAUGUGUAGCGGUGAAAUGCGCAAAGAUAUGGAGGAACACCGGUGGCGAAGGCGACUUUCUGGUCUGUAACUGACGCUGAUGUGCAAAAGCGUGGGGAUCAAACAGGAUUAAAUACCCUGGUAGUCCACGCCGUAAACGAUGACUGCUAGG
This 346-nucleotide ribosomal RNA is filed under the name uncultured bacterium. RNAcentral describes it as "bacterial SSU rRNA". It matches the Rfam family "Bacterial small subunit ribosomal RNA", at positions 475 to 820 of the family's 1533-position model. The record is from RNAcentral.